CGGAAACGUCCCUUCGCAAACUCUCCCCGGAGAAUCGAGCGGCUUCUCUUUUGCGCUAGCCACGGGGUCGGGGCCGGAACUGUGAGCUGGGACCUGAGUUCCAGCCGGGCCCUAUUCGGUGUUUCACUUACUCAUUCUCCCCCCCCCCCCCGCGGCGUUACCGGGGUAACGGAGUCGUUGGAGCAGCGAGGAGCCCGGGGCAAGAUGAUGCUCUCCCGGGCCAAGCCGGCCGUGGGGGGCGCCCCGCCGCAGGGCGACAAACGGAAGAAGAAAGGCAAGAAAGUCCCGCAACUGGAGGAGCUGCUGGCCCAGAGGGACUUCACCGGCGCCAUCGCCCUGCUGGAGCUUUACAAUAUUUGUACAGAGACUGUGUGACUGGAUAGAAACUGCCUGUCCUUGAAAAUGUGAUAUUCACACCACCUGACUUCCGUGUCCAGUUUAAACGGCAUGUGCGGGAACAAGAUGAGGACACUGACCUCUGGAUUGGAUACUGCGCCUUUCACCUGGGGGACUACAAGAGAGCAUUGGAGGUGCAUAUGUAAACCAGCUGGAAUGAGCAAAAUAGAUGUUCUCAUAUCCAGGGAGAACCUAGAAAACAAAAGGAGAACAGUUAAGCUAAGGUUCCUGAGUUGUGACAUUCCCCACACCAAAAGGGAGUGUCCCAGAAGUCUUCAGAUCCCAACUGGAACCCUGAGAAUUCCCCAUUUUGUCACCUUCAUCUUUGAAGCACCAUGUUGUGGCCACCAUCUACACCAGCUAUUGAGAUUCCUUCUGAAGCCCAAUAACAAAACCUCUCUUUAAAAAAGAAAGUCAAACCAAGAGUGCCUGUUGAUCUAGAUGGCACUGCCUCCUCCUCCUCAGAGCACUGUGCCCACACCUGCAGUGUUCCAUCCCCCUACCAGCACGGAAGGAGAACACCACUAGAAAUGAAAAACCAGUUUCUAACCAUUUUUAUAUCACACCCAUUGCCAUAAUACCAUAGUUCUUCUCCUGGAUGAUAGUGAAAAAUCACCAGUUGCAUGGCCUGCUAUAGCAUCUUUAACUCCCCAAAUUUACACAAAGAGGCUACCUCUAAAUCAGAUGCAGGUAUCUCCCGUUCCUCCCCCCAGAAAGUUAAAACGCUGCCUCGACAGUCUUCCUGAUCACUACCAGACCAAGGGACAAGAGACUGGCUCUAGAAAAUCAGAUACUGCCCUUUUCAAAGGUAGCACACUGCAGAGUCACCUGAUCCGCCAUUCUGAGAUGUUUUGUACCCCUUAAAAAUGCACGGGAACUUCUUAUCUGUCUCUCCAACAUGGCUUUUGGCCAUCUUUGGAUAUUUAACAACUUCAAUUUAGAGACAAAUGAAAGCCCAAAUACAAGAGUAACAUGAUACAAAAUCAAGAGCUAGAAUGAUUUGUUAGAAAACUUAUCUAUGAACAGUAUCAGCUAAAACAAAAUGAAAUCUAAAUUGAUGUGUCUGUAGUGCCCAGCAUGAUGGGGCCCCGAUGCCUGAUUAAGGCCCCUAUAUGUUCCCAAAAUAUAAAUAAUAAUGAGGGUUACAUCAACAUGAUCAUGAUACAAGUCUACGCAGGGGCUAGAAGUUAUGAGAAGUUUUGUUGCCCUCACCUUGAUAAGAGCAGAGCAGUGACCCAUGACCCAUUGAUAUCUCCCAAAGCCUGCUGGGUCACCCUUAUACCAACCCACUGCUGAAUACGUGAAUAAUGCAGGAAUAGGGUCCAGUAGAUCUCCAACUGCAUCCAGAAAGCGGACAUCAAAGACACUCAGGGACUGGGAGGCAAAGAGACCAAAACAAAAGAAUAUACCGGUAUUUUCAGACGGAAAAGUGACUGUAUUUCACAGCAGCCAGAAGGAGAGUGGAGCCUGCUGCAUGCCAGGGACUGGAGAGGAGAGCGCCCAUUUCACCUUGCGGCUCUUUGAAUCCUACCUUGCCCGCUGCCCCCCAGCCAAACCCAGAUUGCGCCUGCUCCCGCUUCUACACCCAAACCAGGACAAAAUGUAAGGCAAUCAUGAAAUCGCACUGAGAAUUUCAAGGUACAUUCCAAAGGAGAAUUUCAAUUUACCUCUUUAAAUGAAAAGGAGCAUCACUGACAGAAUGCCGGCUUGAUUUCAACAUGGAAGACUUAUGCACAUGUCCCAACGGAGAACAACUGCCUUAUGUUAACUGGGGUUCUUCCAGCACUUGAGCAAGGAAAGGAAGGGAAGAUGAAACUAUGUUCACAAUCUUUUCAAUGGAAGCAGCAAAGAAUCCUGUGGCACCUUAUAGACUAACAGACGUUUUGCAGCAUGAGCUUUCGUGGGUGAAUACCCACUUCUUCGGAUGCAAGCAGUGGAAAUUUCCAGGGGCAGAUGAAUUGGAGCUCAGCAAUUUCUCUUUGCAUAGCAUCAGCCACAGUUGAGUCCUGAUAUAGAAAAAAAGAUACUCCCGUUCCUGACCCAGAAGAAAUCUUACAAAGAGAGAUAUUGAAAGCAAUUUACAAACAGAGUGCCAUGGGCAUCAUCAACUUUGAUUUCCAGUUGAGAUUCAAAAGAUUGCAAAGGUUUUUUUCAAUAGUUCUCUUGUAUAACUAAUAGUGAAGGAGUCACUUGAUACCUGCUUUGCACCUCAAAUCCAGGCAGGUAAACCCAAGCUAUUAAGACACUAGCUCCCUAGAACUUGAGAUUUCAUCUUGCUUUUCAUCAUGAAAAAAACACAAGCUUAUUUCCUUUAGCAUUUUGAAAAUCACAUUAAUUAAAACAGCAAUCUUGCUAAAACAGCAAUGCACCUAAGUUAGACUGAUGGUCUCCUCAAAUUUCAACACCAUGUUCACUCUUGUCUUGUAUACAAAUACAUGGAUGUUUCUCAGUACAGUUUCUUCAAGUCACAAGACUGAAAGGAGGAGGAUUGUUACAUCCAGCGUCCCACAAAACGUAUAUAAUCAAUGCACUUUCCCACUGAUGAAGCUGUGCCCACAGCAAUCCAUGGAUUAGUCAGCUACAGACUGGACUAUUCUAAAUCGCUGGAUCAGAGUCUGAAGGUGAAAGCAGCACAGAAACUCAACUAUACAGAAUACAGGAAAAGAUGCCAAGAGCACAUCACAGUGUUGUUUCAUGACCUGUCCCUAUUCACUUAUUCUACCAAUUCAAAAUACUUGUCUUCAGCUGGCAUUUUCAAAAAGUGCUCAGAGUUAGCCUAACUCUGCUCUGGUAGGAAGUCAAUGGCAAAAGACCAAUGCUGAAUACUUUUGAAAAUCCCAACUUUCAUCUUUCAGCCCUCACUGACAUGGGACCUGAUAACAUUAGGUCUCCAUUCACAACCCAUCAAGACACCUGCAUAGUUCCACAAACACCAAAAGUUCAAAAAUCAGGAGUCAGAACCCACAAAAAUUAUGAGGUUGUCUCAUAAAUUGUAAGGAUUUUUUUUAUUUUAUUGUAAUGAUUACUGAGCUGUGUUCUGACUUUAACUUCCCCUGUCUGCCUCUAAUAUGUGUGUCAAUUCACAUUGCCAAUUUACAAUGAGAAAUACAAUUUUGGCCAUCACAGGUAAUUUUAUGUCAUCUCUCAACCCCAAAACAACUUAUUUUGUGACAAAUCCCCAGUCCUCACACUUAUCCCAGUUACAGAUCAACUCCACAAACCCAGUCACACAACAAUUCUGCACACCUCUUGCCUCGCUACCCCAUAUGUGCCCCUUACUCCCAGCACACCUCUGCUCCUCCUGUGUAGGUUCUUCAUCCCAAUCUAGACCUAGUUGGAGGAAAAGCUUCAGGGGGAGAGAGAGAGAGAGGCACACACAUGCACACGCACACACCUGGGAGGAGGGGCAGCUCCACUGGAUCUUCACAAACACCCCCUUGUAGGCCUCGGGAGAGGGCAACUCCAAGAGGGCCACCUUCUCCUCCAUUCCAGGCCUGGUAUAGGAGCAUUAUAGAAGAGGAAAGGGGAGGAUAGAGGAGCAGAGAGAAGACUGACCCAUUUUUCACAAGAAGGGAGGGAGAAGGGACACCUUGAGCUGCUGGGCAAUUUUUGUUCUCUCCUCCCCUUCCUCUCUUGAGUAAAUAGUAUUGGCUGCUCUCUUCCCCUCCUCCAAAACCUUCUUCGCUCCUGAGGAGAAAAGAAAUGUUCUGCAAGUCUCCUACCACAACUGUCAUUGAGUGACUGUACAAACAAACAAACUCCCCAGGAGGUGAGGACAUGGGGGAAGGCAAUCUAUCAAAGGGGGUUUUCUCCAGACAGCCUGAAAAAAAUCACUUGAAGGAUGAGCCUCUCACCUCAUAGGUAAGACUGGCUCCAGCAAGGGCCAAAUUUGUGUUACUUAUGAUACAUAUGUGAGAGUGGGAAACACUGCCUGCAUUCCUCUAGGUCAAUACAGCUAAUGGUGCCAAGGACAAAACUUGCAAGAGCUACAGACAAGGCAUUUUUGGUCAAAGGCUACUGACCAUGGAACUUUAUUCUAGAAGAGAUAAGACUAAGCCAAAGGCUGAAUUUUCAGAACAAAAUACAUGACUUACCUUUGUGCAAAAGGUUUCCUGCAAGAACUGAAGACAAGGAAAAACAGAGGAGAGAAAAAUAAAAGAAAAACACUAAGGAAACCUGCCAAGCAGAGAGCUGAAUGCAGCAUGGACAACCCUGAGAAUCUCACCGUAUUUAGCAUUCAUACUAUGACGAUUGGCACUGUAAAAAUAACUAAGAUAUGAGUAUCAGCACAAUAUCUAAUGCUUUGCAAAGGCAGUAGAUAAUGGCAUUCAUGAUUGGAUACCUAGCUUGAUUUCAAAUAAAUUGCACCCAUUUUGCUCAGUGCCUUAAAAUAUCCUGUUAAGAAGUAAUUUUUUUCUAUCAUAAGCUAUGAAGUUUUUCAAUUAAAAUAAACUAUUUUCUGAGUUGCUAAGCUCUUGCUCAAGCACUUCUGACACUGUGAUAACUCAGUUGCUUUAAGGCAGUUUUCAUUAUUUUUACUUCAGCAUUUAUUACUUUAAAAGGUUGUAACUCUACAGUCAGAAACACUUCCUUGGCUAGUCUAGUGUUCAGUGAGACAGAGCAGUAACUGUUUCUCAUCAUGUCAAUGUUCAUAAUGCUCAGCUACAUAAGAGGUACAGCUCUCUUGAAUCAAAAUUUAAAGUCCAGCUCUGGUUAUUAUUUACCAGUGAACUAAAUUUCUCUUUUUCCAGACUCAGCCCUGGUCUACACAAUGAGUUUAGUCGAAUUUAGCGGUGUUACAUUGAUUUAACCCUGCACCCAUCCACACAACAAAGCCAUUUUUUUCAAC
Molecule: RNA transcript, 5245 nt
Organism: Mauremys reevesii (Reeves's turtle)
Lineage: Eukaryota; Metazoa; Chordata; Testudines; Geoemydidae
Exons: 11
Source: RefSeq, a predicted model, not a curated record